AUAAUACACACAUAGUAACAAAUGCAGCUAAG
RNAcentral lists this non-coding RNA (32 nucleotides) under Trypanosoma vivax. The record is from RNAcentral. Lineage: Eukaryota; Euglenozoa; Kinetoplastea; Trypanosomatida; Trypanosomatidae.